Araneus ventricosus is the source of this 69-nucleotide non-coding RNA. The record is from the annotation of a GenBank genome assembly. NCBI's taxonomy places the organism in Eukaryota, Metazoa, Arthropoda, Arachnida, Araneae, Araneidae.
AGUCCUGUACCGCAGUGGACAGCGCGUUGGACUUCUAAUAUAAGUCCCGGAUCGAAUCCGGCAGGGAUG